CGGAUCGGAGUCUGNAACCCGACUCCGUGAAGCUGGAUUCGCUAGUAAUCGCGCAUCAGCCAUGGCGCGGUGAAUACGUUCCCGGGCCCUUGUACACACCGCCCGUCAAGCCAUGGAAGCCGGGGGCGCUUGAAGUGCGUUGCCGCAAGGCGCGCCCUAGAGCGAAACCGGUGACUGGGGCUAAGUCGUAACAAGGUAAC
Molecule: ribosomal RNA, 200 nt
Filed under: uncultured bacterium
Lineage: Bacteria
Description: partial 16S ribosomal RNA
Rfam family: Bacterial small subunit ribosomal RNA
Source: RNAcentral